GACGACGCUGGCGGCGUGCCUAACACAUGCAAGUCGAGCGGGGUUGAAGCGAGGGGUAACUCGGACUUCUACCUAGCGGCGGACGGGUGAGUAACGCGUGGGCAACCUGCCUCAAGGUUUGGGAUAACAGCUCGAAAGGGCUGCUAAUACCGGAUAUGCCUGUGGCCUCGCAUGGGGCUAUGAGCAAAGGGGAAACCCGCCUUGAGAUGGGCCCGCGUCCCAUCAGCUAGUUGGUGAGGUGAAGGCUCACCAAGGCGACGACGGGUAGCCGGCCUGAGAGGGUGACCGGCCACACUGGGACUGAGACACGGUCCAGACUCCUACGGGAGGCAGCAGUGGGGAAUAUUGGGCAAUGGGGGAGACCCUGACCCAGCGACGCCGCGUGAGGGAUGAAGGUUUUCGGAUCGUAAACCUCUGUUGUACGGGAAGAAGGAUGUGACGGUACCGUACGAGAAAGCCCCGGCAAACUACGUG
This 474-nucleotide ribosomal RNA is filed under the name uncultured bacterium. RNAcentral's name for it is "bacterial SSU rRNA". It matches the Rfam family "Bacterial small subunit ribosomal RNA", at positions 33 to 507 of the family's 1533-position model. The record is from RNAcentral.